Molecule: transfer RNA, 676 nt
Filed under: Bos indicus x Bos taurus (hybrid cattle)
Lineage: Eukaryota; Metazoa; Chordata; Mammalia; Artiodactyla; Bovidae
Description: lncRNA (ENSBIXG00000005949.1)
Rfam family: tRNA (bases 114-185)
Source: RNAcentral
CUUUUUGUUUGCUUUGCAAUCCUAGCUUACUUUCGUUUAUACUGUGUAGCCAUAUGAAUCUCUCACUCAAACUUCCAGGGCCUUUUGGGGAAAAAUGAGAAGCUAAUGGGGCUUCCCUGGUAGCUCAGCUGGUAAAGAAUCUGCCUGCAAUGCAGGACACCCAGGUUCGAGCCCUGGGUUGGGAAGAUUCCCUGAAGAAAGGGAUAGGCUACCCGCUCCAGUAUUCUUGGGCUUCCCUGGUGGCUUAGCUGGUAAAGAAUCCACCUGCAAUGCGGAAGAAGCUAAUGAGAGCUUUCUGUACAGUGAGUGGGGAGCAGAGGGGCCUGACUGUUUAAAUUAUUUACCCUGGAGAUAUUCAACGUCUACCACCUCACAUUAGAACCUUCUGCUCAAUGGGCAGAUCUCCCUGCCUACCCCUCCCUCACCAGCAUGAAUCAAGAGGAGGCCCAAAACUACUUUAGCUGGGGGAGGGGGCGCUGGUGUGGUCCUGGAAUAUCCCAGGAGAGGUCACCAACUCAGUGCAUCCUGCUUCAGCUCCAGCACUUCCAGCUGACAUCCAUCCUGGGGUCCAAGGUGGAAGUUCUGAAGCAGUCGGAGAGUCUGAGGGACUCCUGAAGUGGCUUCCGGGCCACAAAGCUCAGUCCAGCCGCCAGUCUGAAGACAAGCCCAUCUCCGC